GCGGUAUCCUGACCGUGCAAAGGUAGCAUAAUCAUUUGUUCUCUAAAUAAGGACUUGUAUGAAUGGCCGCACGAGGGUUUUACUGUCUCUUACUUCCAAUCAGUGAAAUUGACCUUCCCGUGAAGAGGCGGGAAUGCACAAAUAAGACGAGAAGACCCUAUGGAGCUUUAACUAACCAACCCAAAGAGAAUAAAUUUAACCAUUAAGGAGUAACAACAAUCUCCAUGAGUUGGUAGUUUCGGUUGGGGUGACCUCGGAGAAUAAAAAACCCUCCGAGCGAUUUUAAAGACUAGACCCACAAGUCAAAUCACUCUAUCGCUCAUUGAUCCAAAAACUUGAUCAACGGAACAAGUUACCCUAGGGAUAACAGCGCAAUCCUAUUCAAGAGUCCAUAUCGACAAUAGGGUUUACGACCUCGAUGUUGGAUCAGGACAUCCUGAUGGUGCAACCGCUAUCAAAGGUUCGUUUGUUCAACGAUUAAAGUCCUA
RNAcentral lists this ribosomal RNA (488 nucleotides) under Bos taurus (domestic cattle). Its description in RNAcentral is "partial 16S ribosomal RNA". It matches the Rfam family "Bacterial large subunit ribosomal RNA", at positions 1933 to 2598 of the family's 2925-position model. Lineage: Eukaryota; Metazoa; Chordata; Mammalia; Artiodactyla; Bovidae. The record is from RNAcentral.